AUGCGUUCCAUUAGUUAGUUGGCGGGGUAACGGCCCACCAAGACAACGAUGGAUAGGGGUUCUGAGAGGAAGGUCCCCCACAUUGGAACUGAGACACGGUCCAAACUCCUACGGGAGGCAGCAGUGAGGAAUAUUGGUCAAUGGACGAGAGUCUGAACCAGCCAAGUAGCGUGAAGGAUGACUGCCCUAUGGGUUGUAAACUUCUUUUAUAUGGGAAUAAAACGUUCCACGUGUGGGAUUUUGUAUGUACCAUAUGAAUAAGGAUCGGCUAACUCCGUGCCAGCAGCCGCGGUAAUACGGAGGAUCCGAGCGUUAUCCGGAUUUAUUGGGUUUAAAGGGAGCGUAGGUGGAUUGUUAAGUCAGUUGUGAAAGUUUGCGGCUCAACCGUAAAAUUGCAGUUGAAACUGGCAGUCUUGAGUACAGUAGAGGUGGGCGGAAUUCGUGGUGUAGCGGUGAAAUGCUUAGAUAUCACGAAGAACUCCGAUUGCGAAGGCAGUUCACUGGACUGCAACUGACACUGAGGCUCGAAAGUGUGGGUAUCAAACAGGAUUAGAUACCCUGGUAGUCCACACAGUAAACGAUGAAUACUCGCUGUUUGCGAUAUACAGCAAGCGGC
RNAcentral lists this ribosomal RNA (616 nucleotides) under uncultured bacterium. RNAcentral describes it as "bacterial SSU rRNA". It matches the Rfam family "Bacterial small subunit ribosomal RNA", at positions 231 to 847 of the family's 1533-position model. The record is from RNAcentral.